CUAACUCCCCAUGGUCUCCGAUGAGGACAUCCGAAUUGGAGUAAAGCUUCGCGGACAUGGAUGGGGAUGCGUCUGAUUAGGUAGUAGGCGGGGUAACGGCCCACCUAGCCUACGAUCAGUAGGGGUUCUGAGAGGAAGGUCCCCCACAUUGGAACUGAGACACGGUCCAAACUCCUACGGGAGGCAGCAGUGAGGAAUAUUGGUCAAUGGACGCGAGUCUGAACCAGCCAAGUAGCGUGCAGGAUGACGGCCCUAUGGGUUGUAAACUGCUUUUGCGCGGGGAUAACACCCUCCACGUGCUGGAGGUCUGCAGGUACCGCGCGAAUAAGGACCGGCUAAUUCCGUGCCAGCAGCCGCGGUAAUACGGAAGGUCCGGGCGUUAUCCGGAUUUAUUGGGUUUAAAGGGAGCGUAGGCCGUGAGGUAAGCGUGUUGUGAAAUGUAGGCGCCCAACGUCUGCACUGCAGCGCGAACUGCCCCACUUGAGUGCGCGCAACGCCGGCGGAACUCGUCGUGUAGCGGUGAAAUGCUUAGAUAUGACGAAGAACCCCGAUUGCGAAGGCAGCUGGCGGGAGCGUAACUGACGCUGAAGCUCGAAAGCGCGGGUAUCGAACAGGAUUAGAUACCCUGGUAGUCCGCGCGGUAAACGAUGGAUGCCCGCUGUGGCGCGCCUGGCGUGCCGCGGCUAAG
This 688-nucleotide ribosomal RNA is filed under the name uncultured bacterium. RNAcentral's name for it is "bacterial SSU rRNA". It matches the Rfam family "Bacterial small subunit ribosomal RNA", at positions 163 to 851 of the family's 1533-position model. The record is from RNAcentral.